This 260-nucleotide ribosomal RNA is filed under the name uncultured bacterium. Its description in RNAcentral is "partial 16S ribosomal RNA". It matches the Rfam family "Bacterial small subunit ribosomal RNA", at positions 92 to 354 of the family's 1533-position model. The record is from RNAcentral.
UGAGUGGCGGACGGGUGAGUAACGCGUGGGCAACCUGGCCUGUACAGGGGGAUAACACUUAGAAAUAGGUGCUAAUACCGCAUAACGGAAGAAGCCGCAUGGCUUUUCCUGAAAACUCCGGUGGUACAGGAUGGGCCCGCGUCUGAUUAGCCAGUUGGCAGGGUAACGGCCUACCAAAGCGACGAUCAGUAGCCGGCCUGAGAGGGCGGACGGCCACACUGGGACUGAGACACGGCCCAGACUCCUACGGGAGGCAGCAG